This 77-nucleotide transfer RNA is filed under the name Klebsiella pneumoniae. RNAcentral describes it as "tRNA-Val". It matches the Rfam family "tRNA". From Rfam's summary of the family: Transfer RNA (tRNA) molecules are approximately 80 nucleotides in length. Their secondary structure includes four short double-helical elements and three loops (D, anti-codon, and T loops). Lineage: Bacteria; Pseudomonadati; Pseudomonadota; Gammaproteobacteria; Enterobacterales; Enterobacteriaceae. The record is from RNAcentral.
GCGUUUCUAGCUCAGUUGGUUAGAGCGCCACCUUGACAUGGUGGGGGUCGGUGGUUAGAGUCCCAUUAAACGCACCA